GACGAACGCUGGCGGCGUGCUUAACACAUGCAAGUCGAACGGAAAGGCCCUGCUUUUGUGGGGUACUCGAGUGGCGAACGGGUGAGUAACACGUGAGUAACCUGCCCUUGACUUUGGGAUAACUUCAGGAAACUGGGGCUAAUACCGGAUAGGAGCUCCUGCUGCAUGGUGGGGGUUGGAAAGUUUCGGCGGGUGGGGAUGGACUCGCGGCUUAUCAGGUUGUUGGUGGGGUAGUGGCUUACCAAGGCUUUGACGGGUAGCCGGCCUGGGGGGGUGACCGGCCAAAUUGGGGACUGAGACACGGCCCAGAUCCUUAGGGGGGGAAGCAGGGGGGAAUUUGGAAAAAGGGGGGGAGGCCGGAGGAGGAGCCGCGGGGGGGGGAAGGAGGCCUUCGGGGUGGUAACCGCCUUCGCCAGCGACGAAGGGUGUCUGACGGUAGAGGGAGAAGAAGCACCGGCUAACUACGUG
Molecule: ribosomal RNA, 468 nt
Filed under: uncultured bacterium
Lineage: Bacteria
Description: partial 16S ribosomal RNA
Rfam family: Bacterial small subunit ribosomal RNA
Source: RNAcentral